Molecule: ribosomal RNA, 2896 nt
Filed under: Escherichia coli
Lineage: Bacteria; Pseudomonadati; Pseudomonadota; Gammaproteobacteria; Enterobacterales; Enterobacteriaceae
Description: 23S ribosomal RNA
Rfam family: Bacterial large subunit ribosomal RNA
Source: RNAcentral
UUAAGCGACUAAGCGUACACGGUGGAUGCCCUGGCAGUCAGAGGCGAUGAAGGACGUGCUAAUCUGCGAUAAGCGUCGGUGAGGUGAUAUGAACCGUUAUAACCGGCGAUUUCCGAAUGGGGAAACCCAGUGUGUUUCGACACACUAUCAUUAACUGAAUCCAUAGGUUAAUGAGGCGAACCGGGGGAACUGAAACAUCUAAGUACCCCGAGGAAAAGAAAUCAACCGAGAUUCCCCCAGUAGCGGCGAGCGAACGGGGAGCAGCCCAGAGCCUGAAUCAGUGUGUGUGUUAGUGGAAGCGUCUGGAAAGGCGUGCGAUACAGGGUGACAGCCCCGUACACAAAAAUGCACAUACUGUGAGCUCGAUGAGUAGGGCGGGACACGUGGUAUCCUGUCUGAAUAUGGGGGGACCAUCCUCCAAGGCUAAAUACUCCUGACUGACCGAUAGUGAACCAGUACCGUGAGGGAAAGGCGAAAAGAACCCCGGCGAGGGGAGUGAAAAAGAACCUGAAACCGUGUACGUACAAGCAGUGGGAGCCUCUUAAUGGGGUGACUGCGUACCUUUUGUAUAAUGGGUCAGCGACUUAUAUUCUGUAGCAAGGUUAACCGAAUAGGGGAGCCGAAGGGAAACCGAGUCUUAACUGGGCGUUAAGUUGCAGGGUAUAGACCCGAAACCCGGUGAUCUAGCCAUGGGCAGGUUGAAGGUUGGGUAACACUAACUGGAGGACCGAACCGACUAAUGUUGAAAAAUUAGCGGAUGACUUGUGGCUGGGGGUGAAAGGCCAAUCAAACCGGGAGAUAGCUGGUUCUCCCCGAAAGCUAUUUAGGUAGCGCCUCGUGAAUUCAUCUCCGGGGGUAGAGCACUGUUUCGGCAAGGGGGUCAUCCCGACUUACCAACCCGAUGCAAACUGCGAAUACCGGAGAAUGUUAUCACGGGAGACACACGGCGGGUGCUAACGUCCGUCGUGAAGAGGGAAACAACCCAGACCGCCAGCUAAGGUCCCAAAGUCAUGGUUAAGUGGGAAACGAUGUGGGAAGGCCCAGACAGCCAGGAUGUUGGCUUAGAAGCAGCCAUCAUUUAAAGAAAGCGUAAUAGCUCACUGGUCGAGUCGGCCUGCGCGGAAGAUGUAACGGGGCUAAACCAUGCACCGAAGCUGCGGCAGCGACACUAUGUGUUGUUGGGUAGGGGAGCGUUCUGUAAGCCUGCGAAGGUGUACUGUGAGGUAUGCUGGAGGUAUCAGAAGUGCGAAUGCUGACAUAAGUAACGAUAAAGCGGGUGAAAAGCCCGCUCGCCGGAAGACCAAGGGUUCCUGUCCAACGUUAAUCGGGGCAGGGUGAGUCGACCCUAAGGCGAGGCCGAAAGGCGUAGUCGAUGGGAAACAGGUUAAUAUUCCUGUACUUGGUGUUACUGCGAAGGGGACGGAGAAGGCUAUGUUGGCCGGGCGACGGUUGUCCCGGUUUAAGCGUGUAGGCUGAUUUUCCAGGCAAAUCCGGAAAAUCAAGGCUGAGGCGUGAUGACGAGGCACUACGGUGCUGAAGCAACAAAUGCCCUGCUUCCAGGAAAAGCCUCUAAGCAUCAGGUAACAUCAAAUCGUACCCCAAACCGACACAGGUGGUCAGGUAGAGAAUACCAAGGCGCUUGAGAGAACUCGGGUGAAGGAACUAGGCAAAAUGGUGCCGUAACUUCGGGAGAAGGCACGCUGAUAUGUAGGUGAAGUCCCUUGCGGAUGGAGCUGAAAUCAGUCGAAGAUACCAGCUGGCUGCAACUGUUUAUUAAAAACACAGCACUGUGCAAACACGAAAGUGGACGUAUACGGUGUGACGCCUGCCCGGUGCCGGAAGGUUAAUUGAUGGGGUUAGCGGUAACGCGAAGCUCUUGAUCGAAGCCCGGUAAACGGCGGCCGUAACUAUAACGGUCCUAAGGUAGCGAAAUUCCUUGUCGGGUAAGUUCCGACCUGCACGAAUGGCGUAAUGAUGGCGAGGCUGUCUCCACCCGAGACUCAGUGAAAUUGAACUCGCUGUGAAGAUGCAGUGUACCCGCGGCAAGACGGAAAGACCCCGUGAACCUUUACUAUAGCUUGACACUGAACAUUGAGCCUUGAUGUGUAGGAUAGGUGGGAGGCUUUGAAGUGUGGACGCCAGUCUGCAUGGAGCCGGCCUUGAAAUACCACCCUUUAAUGUUUGAUGUUCUAACGUUGGCCCCUGAUCGGGGUUGCGGACAGUGUCUGGUGGGUAGUUUGACUGGGGCGUGCUCCUCCUAAAGAGUAACGGAGGAGCACGAAGGUUGGCUAAUCUGGUCGGACAUCAGGAGGUUAGUGCAAUGGCAUAAGCCAGCUUGACUGCGAGCGUGACGGCGCGAGCAGGUGCGAAAGCAGGUCAUAGUGAUCCGGUGGUUCUGAAUGGAAGGGCCAUCGCUCAACGGAUAAAAGGUACUCCGGGGAUAACAGGCUGAUACCGCCCAAGAGUUCAUAUCGACGGCGGUGUUUGGCACCUCGAUGUCGGCUCAUCACAUCCUGGGGCUGAAGUAGGUCCCAAGGGUAUGGCUGUUCGCCAUUUAAAGUGGUACGCGAGCUGGGUUUAGAACGUCGUGAGACAGUUCGGUCCCUAUCUGCCGUGGGCGCUGGAGAACUGAGGGGGGCUGCUCCUAGUACGAGAGGACCGGAGUGGACGCAUCACUGGUGUUCGGGUUGUCAUGCCAAUGGCACUGCCCGGUAGCUAAAUGCGGAAGAGAUAAGUGCUGAAAGCAUCUAAGCACGAAACUUGCCCCGAGAUGAGUUCUCCCUGACUCCUUGAGAGUCCUGAAGGAACGUUGAAGACGACGACGUUGAUAGGCCGGGUGUGUAAGCGCAGCGAUGCGUUGAGCUAACCGGUACUAAUGAACCGUGAGGCUUAACCU